RNAcentral lists this ribosomal RNA (400 nucleotides) under uncultured bacterium. Its description in RNAcentral is "bacterial SSU rRNA". It matches the Rfam family "Bacterial small subunit ribosomal RNA", at positions 28 to 431 of the family's 1533-position model. The record is from RNAcentral.
GACGAACGCUGGCGGCGUGCUUAACACAUGCAAGUCGAGCGGUAAGGCCCUUUCGGGGGUACACGAGCGGCGAACGGGUGAGUAACACGUGGGUGACCUGCCCUCAGCUCUGGGAUAAGCCUGGGAAACCGGGUCUAAUACUGGAUAUGACUCCAUGACGCAUGUUGUGGGGUGGAAAGCCGUUGUGCGGCUGAGGAUGGGCCCGCGGCCUAUCAGCUUGUUGGUGGGGUGANGGCCUACCAAGGCGACGACGGGUAGCCGGCCUGAGAGGGCGACCGGCCACACUGGGACUGAGACACGGCCCAGACUCCUACGGGAGGCAGCAGUGGGGAAUCUUGCGCAAUGGGCGAAAGCCUGACGCAGCGACGCCGCGUGAGGGAUGACGGCCUGGUUGUAACGU